UGGCCAGGUGAGGGCCACUGCAAUUGAC
This 28-nucleotide small RNA is filed under the name Bombyx mori (domestic silkworm). RNAcentral describes it as "ovarian small RNA-34799". The record is from RNAcentral. Lineage: Eukaryota; Metazoa; Arthropoda; Insecta; Lepidoptera; Bombycidae.